CCGCUGAGGACCGCACAGGGGAGCGGGCGGCGGCAUCGCGAGGACUGACCACUGGGUGGCACUGUUGCUCCAUGGAGAGCUGCCAACGGCGUCCCCGGGGACCCGGCCACGUUGAGCACAAAAGGCAGAGGAGCCUGGCAACCAUGUCCCAAGUUGGAAGGAAGCUCUGAGAACCCUGCUCCCCAGAAAUCCUGAGCAAAGGCUGGCUGGCCUACAGGAGCAGUCUAGAGUAAGAGCUGUUUCCUGGCAGAGGAUCAAGUAUCCAGGUCACAUUGAAGAGACAUGUGAGGACUCCAAUGGAGAACAAUUUGAGAGUGAGAAACCAGUUCUGGAGGCCAGGAAGUUCAAGAUCAAGGUGUUGGCAAGUUCAGUGUCUGCUGAGGACCUGAUCUCUCUUCUUUCAAGAUGGCAUCUUGUUGCUCUUCCCUCCAGAGAGUAGAAAUGCUGGAACCUCACAUGGAGGAAAAAAUGAAAAGGACCAAUUGAUGCCUGGGACCCAGCUGAGAUCUCCAUCAUCUCUCAAAACAACUGUGCACUGACCUCCUGACCUAAGCCCAGCCUCUGCCCACUCAGACUGACCUUCACGCAGCUGCACAAUGCUGCAUUUGGAAGCCGGACCUGACCACAUUCGUUUCCCUCUAGAUUCAUGUUCUGGAGAAAUGAAAAUGCUGUCUCAGUGGAAUGUUGAUUAGCUGGAGUGGAGACCCAAGAUCUCUGUCCAGGCAGGGCCAUCAACUAGAGGUGGCCCUGUGAUUGAUGAGUGACCAGCCAUGUGUGGAGAAAAGCAAUGUGAACAACUUCUGACUUCGCUGUUAAAGAAAAUUGGUCUGUCCCCCAUUUCCUUGCAUUCCCAUUCUUACUGGCUGAAAUUCAAAGCUGAUAAAUGGAGCUAGAGCAGAUAGCUGGGAAAAUGAGUUGAGGGUCUUACAUUAAGACUUGCCAGCAAGAAGAAGAAUUUUUCCAGGGUUCCUGACACCGCCAAAUUGUUCGAUCAGCUCUGAACUCUAUACUGAGAUUCUUUAAGUAUGAGAGACAUGAACUUUGACUGGCUUAAGUGAGCUAUUGAGGUCUCUUUGCUAUUGUGACCUAACUCAGGGGUCAGCAAAUAACACUCUGUGCGCAAAAUCUGACUACGAUCUGUUUUUGUAACUAAAUAAAAUUUCACUGAAACACA
This 1174-nucleotide long non-coding RNA is filed under the name Homo sapiens (human). Its description in RNAcentral is "HSALNT0300125". Lineage: Eukaryota; Metazoa; Chordata; Mammalia; Primates; Hominidae. The record is from RNAcentral.